RNAcentral lists this ribosomal RNA (401 nucleotides) under Fejervarya multistriata. RNAcentral's name for it is "partial large subunit ribosomal RNA". It matches the Rfam family "Bacterial large subunit ribosomal RNA", at positions 2008 to 2573 of the family's 2925-position model. The record is from RNAcentral. Lineage: Eukaryota; Metazoa; Chordata; Amphibia; Anura; Dicroglossidae.
GGGUCUCACUGUCUCCUUUUUCUAAUCAGUGAAACUGAUCUCCCCGUGAAGAAGCGGGGAUAAAAAUAUAAGACGAGAAGACCCCAUGGAGCUUUAAACCCAAUAGACACCUCUGACUAAUCUAACCCAAAACACUUCUUAAGUUCUGUCUAUUGGUUUUAGGUUGGGGUGACCACGGAGUACAAUAAAUCCUCCAUGACGUACGGGACUUCCCUCUUAUCCUUGAACCACAUUUCUAAGAAUCAACAAAUUGACGUUUGAUGAUCCAAUAUAUUGAUCAACGGACCAAGUUACCCUGGGGAUAACAGCGCAAUCCAUUUUAAGAGCCCCUAUCGCCAAAUGGGUUUACGACCUCGAUGUUGGAUCAGGGUAUCCUAGUGGUGCAGCCGCUACUAAUGGUU